GGGCUAGCUUCCACAAUACAUACACUAAAAUUUGAAUGAUACAGAGAACCGCAUGGCCUCUCUGCAAGGAUGACAAAUUCAUGAAGUGUUCCGUAUUUUU
This 100-nucleotide small nuclear RNA is filed under the name Octodon degus (degu). Lineage: Eukaryota; Metazoa; Chordata; Mammalia; Rodentia; Octodontidae. The record is from RNAcentral.